AUAUGAAGGAAGCGCAGGGUUCAGGGCGAUCAGCAAGGCUCUGACCCCAGGUGGAGGCUCAGCAUUGCACUCCGCUGUGUUGAAGCCCGAGACGGACUCUAAUUGGGUUUGCCCGGGUGCGCAGUUUUUGCUAGUGGGGAGCCUUUGGGCAUCCCUU
Molecule: small nuclear RNA, 157 nt
Filed under: Rodentolepis nana
Lineage: Eukaryota; Metazoa; Platyhelminthes; Cestoda; Cyclophyllidea; Hymenolepididae
Description: Hymenolepis nana U1 spliceosomal RNA
Rfam family: U1 spliceosomal RNA
About the family: U1 is a small nuclear RNA (snRNA) component of the spliceosome (involved in pre-mRNA splicing). Its 5' end forms complementary base pairs with the 5' splice junction, thus defining the 5' donor site of an intron.
Source: Rfam by way of RNAcentral